This 466-nucleotide ribosomal RNA is filed under the name uncultured bacterium. RNAcentral describes it as "bacterial SSU rRNA". It matches the Rfam family "Bacterial small subunit ribosomal RNA", at positions 917 to 1382 of the family's 1533-position model. The record is from RNAcentral.
GGGCCCGCACAAGCAGUGGAGCAUGUGGUUUAAUUCGACGCAACGCGAAGAACCUUACCUAGGCUUGAAACGCAGAUUAAUCCUGAUGAAAGUCAGGGUUCCGCAAGGAGAAUCUGUACAGGUGCUGCAUGGCUGUCGUCAGCUCGUGCCGUGAGGUGUUGGGUUAAGUCCCGCAACGAGCGCAACCCUCGUCCUUAGUUGCCAUCAGGUAAUGCUGAGCACUCUAAGGAGACUGCCUACGCAAGUAGUGAGGAAGGUGGGGAUGACGUCAAGUCCGCAUGGCCCUUACGCCUAGGGCCACACACGUGCUACAAUGGCCAUUACAAAGGGUUGCAAUACCGCGAGGUGGAGCCAAUCCCUAAAAAAUGGUCUCAGUUCGGAUUGGAGUCUGCAACUCGACUCCAUGAAGCUGGAAUUGCUAGUAAUCGCGCAUCAGCACGGCGCGGUGAAUACGUUCCCGGGCCUU